CAUUCCCGGCUACCAAAAAUUAUGCGCCCGAGUUACCCACAUUAGGGGUAAUCGCAGGGGUCAGCUCGAUCGAAGUGCAAUGAAAGAGCCUCACCCGGGAGGAACCGCCUUCGUGAUCACGGUGUCCUCUACGCCAGGUAAGA
RNAcentral lists this small nuclear RNA (143 nucleotides) under Ronderosia bergii. Its description in RNAcentral is "partial U1". Lineage: Eukaryota; Metazoa; Arthropoda; Insecta; Orthoptera; Acrididae. The record is from RNAcentral.